UUGAAGUUGUUGCUUACAGAGAGGGCAUGAAGAUGUAAUAGCAAGCCACUUAUCUACACACCUGAGAUGAAACACAUGGGAACAAGGUAACUGUCUCACUUCUUCCUUGUCUAUAUACUUGGCAAGGCAAAUGCAACAUUCCUGCAAAACCGAAGGCAACCGGAAGUAUUUUAAUCCCCCAUCGCUCUUUCUAUUUGAAUUUUCUAUUGUAGUUUUUUCAAAACCAGGAAGAGAAUUAUUACUUACUGGAUCCUCUUUUAGAAGUCCUGUAUUGCUAUUGUCGAGUUGACUUCUGGGGUUGAUGUUGGCUUCAACUGCUUUGUAUCUCCAGCAAGGUAGCUGGGAAAUUUGAUCGUCUGAUGCUCCUUUUUCAGUUGAUCCCGUGUUAAUGUUAUACCCUGUAAGGCUACUAAUCAAUGGCACACAGCAACAUAGCAGCAGAAACAGAAUAAAUGGGAAAGAGUAGCAGAUGGCAUUCCAAACUAGCAGGAAGCUGCAUAGUAGAUGUAGCUUGGGAGCUCUC
Molecule: long non-coding RNA, 523 nt
Filed under: Cucumis sativus (cucumber)
Lineage: Eukaryota; Viridiplantae; Streptophyta; Magnoliopsida; Cucurbitales; Cucurbitaceae
Description: long non-coding RNA (CSAT_LNC002811)
Source: RNAcentral